RNAcentral lists this ribosomal RNA (603 nucleotides) under Paramicrothyrium chinense. RNAcentral describes it as "eukaryotic LSU rRNA". The stretch from base 236 to 389 matches the Rfam family "5.8S ribosomal RNA". Lineage: Eukaryota; Fungi; Ascomycota; Dothideomycetes. The record is from RNAcentral.
GUAAAAGUCGUAACAAGGUCUCCGUUGGUGAACCAGCGGAGGGAUCAUUACGAAAGGAGUAUUCCGUACUCUUCAACCCUUUGUGAACUUACCUAUUGUCAGUUGCUUCGGCGGGAGGCCCCUGGGAGGGGCCCCGGGGCCCGGUCCUGAGCCGGGCUCCCGCCGGAGGAGCGCAACCAAAACUCUUGCUGUACCUCAGUGGCACCUCCGAGUAAAAAAGCAAAAAACAAGUUAAAACUUUCAACAACGGAUCUCUUGGUUCUGGCAUCGAUGAAGAACGCAGCGAAAUGCGAUAAGUAAUGUGAAUUGCAGAAUUCAGUGAAUCAUCGAAUCUUUGAACGCACAUUGCGCCCGCCAGCAUUCUGGCGGGCAUGCCUGUUCGAGCGUCAUUUCAACCCCUCAGGCCCUGGUGCCUGGCGUCGGGGCUCUCCCUCGCGGGAGGCCCCCAGAGACAGUGGCGGACCCGCCGCGGCUCCGAGCGCAGUAGUAAAAUAUCUCGCUCUGGAGGCCCGCGGGGGAGCUCUCCGGCCGUAAAACCAGGUCUGCAAAGACCGACCCCACCAAGGUUGACCUCGGAUCAGGUAGGAAUACCCGCUGAACUUA